This 380-nucleotide ribosomal RNA is filed under the name uncultured bacterium. Its description in RNAcentral is "bacterial SSU rRNA". It matches the Rfam family "Bacterial small subunit ribosomal RNA", at positions 28 to 416 of the family's 1533-position model. The record is from RNAcentral.
GAUUAACGCUGGCGGCGUGCCUAACACAUGCAAGUCGAACGAGGUAGCAAUACCUAGUGGCAGACGGGUGAGUAACGCGUGGUCAACCUACCCUAGAGUGGGGGAGUAACUAAGCCGAAAGGUUAGCUAAUACCGCAUGAAACAUGCCGGGGCAUCUCGGAAUGUUGAAAGGAGCAAUCCGCUCAAGGACGGGACCGCGUCCCAUUAGCUAGUUGGUGGGGUAACGGCCUACCAAGGCACCGAUGGGUAGCUGGUUUGAGAGAGCGACCAGCCACACUGGGACUGAGAAACGGCCCAGACUCCUACGGGAGGCAGCAGUGAGGAAUUUUCCGCAAUGGGCGAAAGCCUGACGGAGCGACGCCGCGUGUGGGAAGAAGGCC